Molecule: small nucleolar RNA, 134 nt
Filed under: Piliocolobus tephrosceles (Ugandan red Colobus)
Lineage: Eukaryota; Metazoa; Chordata; Mammalia; Primates; Cercopithecidae
Description: Small nucleolar RNA SNORA70 (ENSPTEG00000028421.1)
Rfam family: Small nucleolar RNA SNORA70
About the family: snoRNA U70 seems to be exclusive to mammals and is a member of the H/ACA class of snoRNA which contain H (ANANNA) and ACA box motifs.
Source: Rfam by way of RNAcentral
CUGCAGCCAAUUAAGCCGACGGAGUUCCUUUCCUCAUGGGGGCCCAGUGUGCAAUGGCUGCAAACAGCAGCUUCCCUGGUAGUGAUGCAGUCUGUUUGUUGUAUGGGUUGCUCUAAGGGACCUUGGAGACAGUC